This 419-nucleotide unclassified non-coding RNA is filed under the name fungal sp. RNAcentral describes it as "partial internal transcribed spacer region". The stretch from base 1 to 46 matches the Rfam family "Eukaryotic small subunit ribosomal RNA", at positions 1786 to 1831 of the family's 1831-position model. Lineage: Eukaryota; Fungi. The record is from RNAcentral.
AAGUCGUAACAAGGUUUCCGUAGGUGAACCUGCGGAAGGAUCAUUAACACGUUAUCCAACGUAUCAACCAACGAGAAUCGUUUUCAUAUCUCCCGGAAGCAAAGAAUGAGUGGAAUCCGAGCAACGCAUUGAAAGGGAUAGCCUCGGCGUCAGCCUGCUCUUAUCACUUAGGCAAAUCGAAAGGUUUGCUUAGACACUGUAUUUUUGCGGAAGGCAAAUUGGUCUGCGUGGUGCUUUCCUUUCAUUGAGAAUCACUGCAGGCUCCUAUUUUUUUUUUACCUAUUUCACCCCCCUUUUUGCUAGUUGACUUUAAUACUGUUGUUCUUUUUUUUCAAACGCUUGCGUUGGGAAAAGAGUUCACACGUUUAAUUAAUUGAACGUUAAAAAUACAACUCUUAGCAAUGGAUAUCUUGGUUCUC